GACGAACGCUGGCGGCGUGCCUAACACAUGCAAGUCGAGCGAAUGAAGUUCCUUCGGGAAUGGAUUUAGCGGCGGACGGGUGAGUAACACGUGGGCAACCUGCCUCAUAGAGGGGAAUAGCCUUCCGAAAGGGAGAUUAAUACCGCAUAAGAUUGUAGUACCGCAUGAUACAGCAAUUAAAGGAGCAAUCCGCUAUGAGAUGGGCCCGCGGCGCAUUAGCUGGUUGGUGAGGUAACGGCUCCCCAAGGCGACGAUGCGUAGCCGAACGGAGAGGGUGAUCGGCCACAUUGGGAAUGAGACACGGCCCAGACUCCUACGGGAGGCAGCAGUGGGGAAUAUAGCACAAUGGGGGAAACCCUGAUGCAGCAACGCCGCGUGAGUGAUGACGGCCUUCGGGUUGUAAAGCUCUGUCUUCAGGGACGAUAAUGACGGUACCUGAGGAGGAAGCCACGGCUAACUACGUGCCAGCCGCCGCGGUAA
Molecule: ribosomal RNA, 480 nt
Filed under: uncultured bacterium
Lineage: Bacteria
Description: partial 16S ribosomal RNA
Rfam family: Bacterial small subunit ribosomal RNA
Source: RNAcentral